Molecule: long non-coding RNA, 207 nt
Filed under: Solanum tuberosum (potato)
Lineage: Eukaryota; Viridiplantae; Streptophyta; Magnoliopsida; Solanales; Solanaceae
Description: long non-coding RNA (STUB_LNC002156)
Source: RNAcentral
GAGUUACAAUAUGCUUUUUCCGAUUCCAAAAGGCACUAGGAUGAUCAGCACAAAUAUCAAUGGCCAUUUGUUCAGAAAUGAGCUUAAUUUUUUCCUGUACUUUAGCAGAUUUUAAAGUAUCGAAUAUAUUCAUACUAAAUAUCUCAAGUUGUAAAUAAUCAACAUGCUUUUGUUUCAUUUCAAUUAGAGCAUUAAUAUCUCUAGAAA